CCCUUAGAUGUUCUGGGCUGCACGCGCGCUACACUGAAGCUAUCAACACGUUUUCCCUCCCUGAGAAGGGCGGGUAACCUUUUGAAUCAGCUUCGUGGUAGGGAUCGGGGCUUGCAAUUGUUCCCCGUGAACCAGGAAUUCCUAGUAGACGCGAGUCAUAAGCUCGCAUCGAUUAAGUCCCUGCCCUUUGUACACACCGCCCGUCGCUACUACCGAUUGAACGUUUUAGUGAGGCAUUUGGACCGACGCAUCUCAGUUUAACCGCUGGUUUGUGUUGGAGAGACUUCCAAACUUGAGCGUUUAGAGGAAGUAAAAGUCGUAACA
Molecule: ribosomal RNA, 324 nt
Filed under: uncultured eukaryote
Lineage: Eukaryota
Description: partial 18S ribosomal RNA
Rfam family: Eukaryotic small subunit ribosomal RNA
Source: RNAcentral